GCCCUGAUAGUUAAAUGGUAUAACAGAUCCAUGGUAAGGAUCAGUCUCCAGUUCAAUUCUGGGUCGGGGCACCA
This 74-nucleotide transfer RNA is filed under the name Candidatus Pelagibacter sp. RNAcentral's name for it is "tRNA-Thr". It matches the Rfam family "tRNA". Rfam says of the family: Transfer RNA (tRNA) molecules are approximately 80 nucleotides in length. Their secondary structure includes four short double-helical elements and three loops (D, anti-codon, and T loops). The record is from RNAcentral. Lineage: Bacteria; Pseudomonadati; Pseudomonadota; Alphaproteobacteria; Candidatus Pelagibacterales; Candidatus Pelagibacteraceae.